AGGAUGAACGCUGGCGGUACGUCUGACACAUGCAAGUCGAACGGUAAGCCACCUUCGGGUGGCCUAGAGUGGCGAACGGCUGAGUAACACGUAGGAACCUACCCCUCAGUCUGGGAUAACGGGACGAAAGCCCCGCUAACACCGGAUAAUAUCGAAAGAUUGAAAGGUUACGCUGAGGGAGGGCCUGCGGGCUAUUAGCUUGUUGGUGAGGUAACGGCUCACCAAGGCGACGAUGGGUAGCUGGUCUGAGAGGACGAUCAGCCACACUGGGACUGAGACACGGCCCAGACUCCGUACGGGAGGCAGCAGUGGGGAAUCUUGCGCAAUGCGCGAAAGCGUGACGCAGCAACGCCGGCGGUAGGGGGGAAGAACGGGCCGUUCGGGUUACGUUAAACCCCGUUUCGAAGUAGGGAACGAAGCGUUUCGGCGGUGAAGUAGCCGCUUGGAGUGACGGUACCUCACAAGAACGCCCGGACUAACUACGU
Molecule: ribosomal RNA, 485 nt
Filed under: uncultured soil bacterium
Lineage: Bacteria
Description: bacterial SSU rRNA
Rfam family: Bacterial small subunit ribosomal RNA
Source: RNAcentral